This is a long non-coding RNA of Pundamilia nyererei, 396 nucleotides long. RefSeq lists it as uncharacterized. The transcript has 4 exons. NCBI's taxonomy places the organism in Eukaryota, Metazoa, Chordata, Actinopteri, Cichliformes, Cichlidae. The record is from RefSeq and is a predicted model, not a curated record.
UCACACUUCGUCGGCGACAAGUGCGAAGCAGCUUUCAGACGGACUUCCGGUCACACUUUCAAAGAAGAGGUUGCAGUUGGCAGGGACAGUGAUUCAAGCCGUAUCUCCACUGUCUCGGCAGUAACAACUGACUGUCCUGCAUAGAGCAAUGGCCUCAAACACACCCUUCGAGUGAAAAGAACAAUUAAAUGUUCAAGUUCCGGUACAAUAUUGUCUGUUUGAUGCUCACUUGACGCUGGUUCAUUUCGCCACCGCUAUCUCCAGGAGACACACCCCGCCAGCGGUCAGACGGGAGCUGGAUAUGAGAAUGAUGGUAGUUGCACGCGCAGACGAUGCUGCCUUCAAGGUAAAUCUUGCUGAGAGCCCAAGGCACCAAAGUAGUUGGGAUUAAAAGUG